CAGUCGAGCGGACGGAUGGGAGCUUGCUCCCUGAAGUCAGCGGCGGACGGGUGAGUAACACGUGGGCAACCUGCCUGUAAGACUGGGAUAACUUCGGGAAACCGGAGCUAAUACCGGAUAAUGCACAGCCUCUCAUGAGGCUAUGCUGAAAGAUGGUUUCGGCUAUCACUUACAGAUGGGCCCGCGGCGCAUUAGCUAGUUGGUGAGGUAACGGCUCACCAAGGCAACGAUGCGUAGCCGACCUGAGAGGGUGAUCGGCCACACUGGGACUGAGACACGGCCCAGACUCCUACGGGAGGCAGCAGUAGGGAAUCUUCCGCAAUGGACGAAAGUCUGACGGAGCAACGCCGCGUGAGUGAUGAAGGUUUUCGGAUCGUAAAACUCUGUUGUCAGGGAAGAACAAGUGCCGGAGUAACUGCCGGCACCUUGACGGUACCUGACCAGAAAGCCACGGCUAACUACGUGCCAGCAGCCGCGGUAAUACGUAGGUGGCAAGCGUUGUCCGGAAUUAUUGGGCGUAAAGCGCGCGCAGGCGGUCUCUUAAGUCUGAUGUGAAAGCCCACGGCUCAACCGUGGAGGGUCAUUGGAAA
Molecule: ribosomal RNA, 590 nt
Filed under: Bacillus sp. CH354_12D
Lineage: Bacteria; Bacillati; Bacillota; Bacilli; Caryophanales; Bacillaceae
Description: bacterial SSU rRNA
Rfam family: Bacterial small subunit ribosomal RNA
Source: RNAcentral